GGGGAUUUAGCUCAGCAGCUUAAGCACCUGCCUUGAAAGUAGGUGGUCCUAAGUUCAAUCCCUG
Molecule: transfer RNA, 64 nt
Filed under: Cavia porcellus (domestic guinea pig)
Lineage: Eukaryota; Metazoa; Chordata; Mammalia; Rodentia; Caviidae
Rfam family: tRNA
About the family: Transfer RNA (tRNA) molecules are approximately 80 nucleotides in length. Their secondary structure includes four short double-helical elements and three loops (D, anti-codon, and T loops).
Source: Rfam by way of RNAcentral